CAGCCGCCACGGUAAUACGAAGGGGGCUAGCGUUGUUCGGAAUUACUGGGCGUAAAGCGCACGUAGGCGGAUAUUUAAGUCAGGGGUGAAAUCCCGCAGCUCAACUGCGGAACUGCCUUUGAUACUGGGUAUCUUGAGUAUGGAAGAGGUUAGUGGAAUUGCGAGUGUAGAGGUGAAAUUCGUAGAUAUUCGCAGGAACACCAGUGGCGAAGGCGGCUAACUGGUCCAUAACUGACGCUGAGGUGCGAAAGCGUGGGGAGCAAACAGGAUUAGAUACCCAGUAGUCCCUGUCUCUUAUACA
RNAcentral lists this ribosomal RNA (301 nucleotides) under uncultured bacterium. RNAcentral's name for it is "partial 16S ribosomal RNA". It matches the Rfam family "Bacterial small subunit ribosomal RNA", at positions 509 to 808 of the family's 1533-position model. The record is from RNAcentral.